This is a long non-coding RNA of Clupea harengus (Atlantic herring), 290 nucleotides long. RefSeq lists it as uncharacterized. Lineage: Eukaryota; Metazoa; Chordata; Actinopteri; Clupeiformes; Clupeidae. The record is from RefSeq and is a predicted model, not a curated record. The transcript has 3 exons.
UGUGCCUUUAGUCUGAGGAUGACCAGAAGACCAGCAGCAGUGGCAGUAGGGCUAAAUCUGCAGCCGACAGCCACCCCUCCUACUCCUCUAGUUUCUGUGAGUUUGACGAUGACACGGCCGACCUCAGGAGCAACAGCCGCAGCGGCUCCGUCAAGAUGGAGAAUGCCAGAUACUGUUACCUUAGCGAUGUCUCCAGCCUCAGUGAGCUUGAGGAGCGCAGGAGCAUCGGCGUUCUGAAGGAUGAGCCUGCUGAUGACUGCUGCCUGGGAACCGCCUCUGACCUUUGUGAG